ACGGAAGGCAGCAGUGGGGGAUAUUGCACAAUGGGGGAAACCCCGAUGCAGCGACGCCGCGUGAGUGAUGAAGUAUUUCGGUAUGUAAAGCUCUAUCGGCAGGGAAGAUAAUGACGGUACCUGACUAAGAAGCACCGGCCAAAUACGUGCCAGCAGCCGCGGUAAUACGUAUGGUGCAAGCGUUAUCCGGAUUUACUGGGUGUACAGGGAGCGUAGACGGCAAGGCAAGCCAGAUGUGAAAGGCUGGGGCUCAACCCCGGGACUGCAUUUGGAACUGUCUAGCUAGAGUAUCGGAGAGGUAAGUGGAAUUCCUAGUGUAGCGGUGAAAUGCGUAGACAUUAGGAGGAACACCAGUGGCGAAGGCGGCUUACUGGACGAUAACUGACGUUGAGGCUCGAAAGCGUGGGGAGCAAACAGGAUUAGAUACCCUGGUA
This 434-nucleotide ribosomal RNA is filed under the name uncultured bacterium. Its description in RNAcentral is "partial 16S ribosomal RNA". It matches the Rfam family "Bacterial small subunit ribosomal RNA", at positions 341 to 792 of the family's 1533-position model. The record is from RNAcentral.